UAACAGUACUCCGAGCUUUCAGACCUAAAAAGCAGUGCUUCACGGUCUUUCAGCCGUGCGGCGGCUUCCCCUGCCGCACCGGGGUGUGUGCGGAAACAAACACGCCUUCCUCAUUGAAAAGGAGUUUCAUAAUGAAUA
Molecule: non-coding RNA, 138 nt
Filed under: bovine gut metagenome
Description: Moco (molybdenum cofactor) riboswitch
Rfam family: Molybdenum/Tungsten riboswitch aptamer (Moco RNA motif)
Source: RNAcentral